Long non-coding RNA from Nematostella vectensis (starlet sea anemone), 830 nucleotides. RefSeq lists it as uncharacterized. The record is from RefSeq and is a predicted model, not a curated record. Lineage: Eukaryota; Metazoa; Cnidaria; Anthozoa; Actiniaria; Edwardsiidae. The transcript is spliced from 2 exons.
GUAGAAAUUCAAGUCACUUCCAGCAUUCGCCUGAUGUGCUGGAAGAAAGACCGAAGGGAAAACAAAUAAUAUAAUACACAAAAAGCUCAACCUCCGAGAGUAGACUAAUGUUCUGCGUCAUGCAGCUCAGCAUGUUGAUGGUGAUUGUGGGGAAAAAGCCGUCUUGUCGGUAGGCAGAAGUUGCUGACGAAAUGUUGGUGCUCAUGGACGGGGAAACGCUUAUACUCAAAGAAGGAGUUUCACAAGGCCCUAUAAGAGAGCAUACGGUACAUUUGAAAGAUGGAGGAAGUUUCUGAUAAUGAUAAAAAGUAAAAAUAUGGGAUUCUACCCCGACCGUAGAUUCAGGACAACGCUAACCAUGGAAGGCUAGAGUUGCAGGCCCGCUCUCCUGAAGAUAACCCUAAAUGUUCAAUAAACAGCUUAAUUUCCCGGUCAACAACAAAAAAGGAAAAUUCCGGCUCCAUAACUGACUAUGAGCCCUGCUGAAUAUGGAAAGUUGAUGCAAAAAAGUGUCCAUGAGUAGGGAUCUCAGAUUAUUCAUUAUUGAGACGUUCUAAAUUCGCGUAUGCUAGUCGUACCUGUUUUUUGCUGCGUGUACACGGCAGAAACAUUGAGCAUAGAAAGGCCAAUAGUGCGAAGAUUAUUAUGCAUUUCCUCAGAGUUGUUGUACGUUGUACUGAACUGAACGUUAACCAUGACACCCCCUGUUGGUGUAGGCCUAGGAAAAAAGGACAGAGCAUGUUAAUAUAGUUCGACCCGGGUUGCUUGUAUAAUCUUAUAUAACGGAGAGCAUGUUAACGAGGAAUGGGCAAUAAACUAAUUAUUAUCAU